AGGAAUAAUAUGGGAUGUAACAUUUUGAAAGUGAUAAGAAAAUGGACCUUGGGCCUAGCUCAAGAGCUGAGUAGUACCCAAGACCAUAUAAAGCGACCAAACACCUCAAACAUAGUCGUUGUGGGACACUAACACCUCCCCCCGCCCCGGACACGCCCGUGAUUGGGCAUUUAGAGCAUAAAUAGUAUAAGAUGGUGUUCCAACAUCGGGUGAAAUAAGAAUUGGGUGAACCUGACUCUGAUACCAUUAUAAGUGGAUAUUAGGCCUAACUCAACCCAAAAACUAGCUCAAGAGGUGAAGAUUUUUCAAGACCAUAUAAAGAGACCAAACACCUCACCCGUAGCUAAUGUCGGACACUAACAGAAGGGUUAUACAGAACCGGGAGUGGAAGGAGGUGGAUGAGUUUUGUUAUAAACUCUAUUCUUGGCUUGGAAGGGAUAUCGGGGACAACGCAUCGUGUGGAGAGGGGAACAAAUGAAGAACUUCUUAUUAUUUGCUUGAAUUAGCUGAAGAAGGAGAUAAAGAUAGGUGUAGAUGAAAAGUGCACGACACCAAGGUACAAAAGAAAGUUGCAUUCUUGACUUGGUGUAUUGUGUGGAAAUAAAAAGGGACACUUUUAUAAAAUGACAUACUAUAUUAGAGAAGAUUUUAUUGGUGGUAUAUUUGGGCAUUUCACUUCUUUCAAAGAGAUGGUUAUUCAAAAAUGAAAGUAUUCAAUGGAUGUGCUUUGUUAAAGUUCUAGCUCUGUAAAGGAUACAACACAUUGAAAUAAAGGAAUUGGUGAAUCUCUCCAUCAGACAGAUUUAGCUUGUUGCUGGAUUGAAAAUUUUACCAUCUCGCUACCUUCACGAGAAGAAUUCUCACAUUCUUUUUCUUUUUGGAUUAGUCUUCUAAUCCGGAGUACUCUCUAAAAUUGUACAGUAAAAUUGAUUCCUUCUAUGUUUACGUUUUUUUAGAUAAGAAGCAUUAUUGAAAAAUCGAAAGGUUAGGCUAUGAGAAGUUGCUUGCCGUCUACUUUGUGAGCCUUCAUUGCUUCAUUCUCUAACUUUUCUUUUUUUCUUUCAUCCUUGAGGUUGUAAAAGGGAGAAAGAGGCUGCUAUCUAUUAAGAGUUAUUUGAAAUUGUAUCGCUUUUGGGCCUGGGAACCCCCCAUCUAUCUAUCCUAUUGCUUUUAUCGUUUAAUAUUGUAAUUUUGUCGUGUCAGACCAUAUGUUUUUAACUGCUAAUAGGUUUUAGUAGUUGGUUUGAAACAAUAUAUCAGAAUAUCCCAUGUUGAUAUUUGUUCCUUAUCAAAAUAAUGAACUAUGACAUAUAGGUUUGGAGUACUAUAGAUGGCUGACUUCCUUAAGUACCACGACUCCUACUAAAUGCCUUACGUAAUUUGGGUAAAAGAAAACUAGCUUUUAGAGUGGAUUCCUUCCAUAAAGUAAAGAAUUGACUUACAUUCAUUAGGUAUACUUCAUUGAGCAGGGAACUUUUGUUCCUACCUUGCAUCAUACAAUGUAAGGAGCAGGAGGAAAUAUAGUUUGUUUCACUAUUCUGAAACCUUAUGUUUGUUAUUUCACAUUGUCACAAGUUGGAGGAUACCGGAGAUAAGCAAAAAAAAUAAGAAAUAACAGAGAGCUAUAACUUGAUGUAAUCUUUGGUCUGUAUGGAUUGAAAGAAAUAUGUGAAUGUGUCGCACUCAAGGGUGUGACUUAGCUAUCAAUGAAGUGGGUGUGACCAAGGUUCAAAUCCUAGUGGAGACGAAAAAAAGCUUGCCAGACUGUUUCUGGAGCAGCUGGAGUUCAGCAGUGGUUAUUGAUUCCUGGAUUUCUUUUUAUUCCAUAUAAGCUCAAAGGGUAAAUUUUCUAUUGUCCUGUGGUUCUGAAGGCAGUCCUUGUAAUUGCUCAAGGCAAGAUGGAGAAUAUGCUGUAUGCAGAGGAGCUUGUCAGGGAAUUUCUAGUAUUCAGAGGCUUUACGAACACCCUGCAGGCUUUUGACAAAGAGUUGGGUACUGAUAUUGGCAAAGU
Molecule: non-coding RNA, 2011 nt
Organism: Nicotiana tabacum (common tobacco)
Lineage: Eukaryota; Viridiplantae; Streptophyta; Magnoliopsida; Solanales; Solanaceae
Source: RefSeq, a predicted model, not a curated record